AUGAUUGUGGUUUUGCUGUUCGUCAUCGCUGGACUCUUUUCUCCGUGCUCUUUCCUCACAUCAGGUGGAAACGGCAUGAAUGUAUAUUACUGCGACACUGAAAACUGUGUCAAUGAUGUAAAGCGUGUUUACUGUGAAGAUCUAGAGCUCCUGGGUUUCAAAUUGUCAGAGAUUUCAAAUUGUUCCUACGGUCCGCUUCCACCCAAUACCAUCUGCCAACACAGAGGCCACUUGUUUGUCUCCACCUUCUUAAAGUCCUGUGAAUUUGAAGGGGACACUGACUAUAUAGAGACCAAAAAUUGUACAGACUGCUCUUUUUUAAAUAGAGCUACCACACCGGCAGUCACCCCAAGCACUGUGGAAACAUCUUCGCAGCCCAAUUCCAAACUUCUAGGUGUCGUGCCCGCAGUAGCCUGUUCUACAGGUGUGGUACUGCUGUUAGCGGGUUUCUUUUACAGAAAAGCAAAAAAUCAGCAACAACAAAGACAGACUCAAACCAGUCCUGGGUUGCAGAAUGACAGCUCAUUAGUCUAAUGCCUUGGAUCUAACAUCAUACUCCUUGUUCGAGGCCAGGGCAUGCCUCCACUAAGGGUCCUUCCUGCUACCCAAGCCUACUGUGAGGGACAACUGUAGCCAUGCCGGCUCGGACGUCGUCUUGAUUAAGGUCUGCAUGAGGUGUUGAAGAACCAGAAGAGUUUACAUAAGCAGACAGCAUCAUUCUGAUGCUCGCACUUUUGGCUAGUACUUAAAUAGGGCUUUUCCAAGUGAUGGCAACAUCAAGAAGAAGGAAUGCUCAAUAGCAGAAUAAGCUGUUUAGUACUACCUGAAAGAAUUUGCCAAGUUUUUCAUGGGGGAAAUCCAAAAAUGUAUUUUCCUCACAAAUGUGACACAUUUAUGUGGAAAUACACAGGCUUUCCAACAUGGAAGUACAAAGAAGGAUUGUUACAACCAACUUUAUAUUAUCUGUAGAUGUAUUAUUAUGUGUGUAAAAAGAAAAUAAUCAUAUUUCUAACCAAAAUGGUUUUCCCUCUUUAAAAUUGUUUAUUUAUUCUUCUUCUCAUUAUGUUCUCUAUGAGACUGGCUGUUGUCAGGGCCCAUUUGUGCCCCUUUACAUACUUUUUUUUUAAUCCAGUGGUGCACUGAAUGAGAAGCAGGAAAGGAAGUGUACAUUUGAUUCAAAGAAAUGGGAUGUAGUCUAUAUUUACAGCUAUAUGCAGUAAACUUUGUUAUUAGAGACAAGGACAUUUAGUUAUUUCUGAACAUGUGUAAGGCUGUCAAACAGUAAUUGUUUUGGCCUUUUCUGAGAAGAAAACAGUUCUUUAUAGCACCUAAAAGUAUCACUACAGAAAUAUGCAUUGGUGGAUUUCUUUACAGAGAAGUGGGUGAAAAUUCCUCCAGAGCUGUGUGCAAACUUAUGCUUUUCAGCAAGGAUUCCUCCAUCAUGUAUCACAUCAGUGGUUCCCAAACUUUUUUUUUGCUAGUUUGGGCACAAACACAUCCUUCAACCACACACACCCAUUUUUGUUUUUCAAACUCCAUUGCAGUUUAUUUCACACCUCAAACCUUUUGUAAACAGUGAAACACAGAAAAGUAAACUGUAAUAAAUUACAGCUUGCAAUAAUAAACCACUAAACAAACCAUCUUUAUGGUGAAAUUAUUUUACGUAUAGUUGUUGUUGUUUUUUUACUGUGUAAGAAUAUUCAACCAUGCUAUCAAUACAUUUUUCAAAAAAUGUCUCUCUGUGCAAAAUGAGUUUAAAAACAUAAACAACUGUGGGAUACUGUUUGUCAGUGAUUUGAACCAGGAAAACAAACUGUGGCAGGAUCAGCCUGAUAUUAUUUGUAUCCCACUGUAACUUUACUGUAUAAAGAGCUAACAUCGCCAAAAUUUCAUUAUAAGAAGUGUUUGUGAAUUAAAAAUCAAGAAUGUGGGAUACUGUUUGUCCGUGAUUUGAACAGUCCAGCGCAUGCUCCUGACGCAGGGGAAACAAAUUCUGUCGGGGAGACCAACCUUGGCAGCACCAUUGUGCAGG
Long non-coding RNA from Oreochromis niloticus (Nile tilapia), 2032 nucleotides. The record is from Ensembl. Lineage: Eukaryota; Metazoa; Chordata; Actinopteri; Cichliformes; Cichlidae.